AACGGCUCACCAAGGCAACGAUGCGUAGCCGACCUGAGAGGGUGAUCGGCCACACUGGGACUGAGACACGGCCCAGACUCCUACGGGAGGCAGCAGUAGGGAAUCUUCCGCAAUGGACGAAAGUCUGACGGAGCAACGCCGCGUGAGUGAUGAAGGUUUUCGGAUCGUAAAGCUCUGUUGUUAGGGAAGAACAAGUACCGUUCGAAUAGGGCGGUACCUUGACGGUACCUAACCAGAAAGCCACGGCUAACUACGUGCCAGCAGCCGCGGUAAUACGUAGGUGGCAAGCGUUGUCCGGAAUUAUUGGGCGUAAAGGGCUCGCAGGCGGUUUCUUAAGUCUGAUGUGAAAGCCCCCGGCUCAACCGGGGAGGGUCAUUGGAAACUGGGGAACUUGAGUGCAGAAGAGGAGAGUGGAAUUCCACGUGUAGCGGUGAAAUGCGUA
This 442-nucleotide ribosomal RNA is filed under the name Bacillus subtilis. RNAcentral describes it as "bacterial SSU rRNA". It matches the Rfam family "Bacterial small subunit ribosomal RNA", at positions 259 to 692 of the family's 1533-position model. Lineage: Bacteria; Bacillati; Bacillota; Bacilli; Caryophanales; Bacillaceae. The record is from RNAcentral.